Molecule: ribosomal RNA, 479 nt
Filed under: uncultured bacterium
Lineage: Bacteria
Description: partial 16S ribosomal RNA
Rfam family: Bacterial small subunit ribosomal RNA
Source: RNAcentral
GAUGAACGCUAGCGGGAGGCCUAACACAUGCAAGCCGAGCGGUAGAUUACUUUCGGGUGAUUGAGAGCGGCGUACGGGUGCGGAACACGUGUGCAACCUGCCUUUAUCAGGGGGAUAGCCUUUCGAAAGGAAGAUUAAUACCCCAUAAUAUAUUAUUCGGCAUCGGGUGAUAUUGAAAACUACGGUGGAUAGAGAUGGGCACGCGCAAGAUUAGCUAGUUGGUGAGGUAACGGCUCACCAAGGCGACGAUCUUUAGGGGGCCUGAGAGGGUGAUCCCCCACACUGGUACUGAGACACGGACCAGACUCCUACGGGAGGCAGCAGUGAGGAAUAUUGGACAAUGGGUGGAAGCCUGAUCCAGCCAUCCCGCGUGCAGGAAGACGGCCCUAUGGGUUGUAAACUGCUUUUAUAUGGGGAUAAACCUACUUACGUGUAAGUAGCUGAAGGUACCAGAAGAAUAAGCACCGGCUAACUCCGUG